RNAcentral lists this long non-coding RNA (1447 nucleotides) under Marmota monax (woodchuck). Lineage: Eukaryota; Metazoa; Chordata; Mammalia; Rodentia; Sciuridae. The record is from RNAcentral.
AAAGGAUUGAAAUCCUUCUUUCUCCAAACCAGUGGCCUCAGAAAACAAAAAUGACAUUGUUGGGGGCGGGGGGAGAGUAAACAUUUUAUUUUUGCAGAUUGCCGCAUUAAGACUGAUGGAUUUAUUCCUGCUAACUAUUUUUACAGAAGACAGCUGUCCAUCAGGACUGUCCCAACUGGUGAGCACCCUCUCACAUUUUAAUUCUUUCCUCUAUUGUUGAAGCCUUCCUGCACAAAGAAGAAUGCAAAGACCUGCACUUCCCAGCCUCCUCUACCCAAAGGGUGCAGAAAUGUGUCUUAGAAUCCUAGUCCAAGGCACUGAGCAACUUGGAUUUAGAAAUAAACUCCUCUGUGCGGGAGGUGGUCCGAUCAGACAGCAGUGUGGUUCAACCUGGUUCAAGGACAUGGCAGAGCACAGGCUAAAGAGGGCAGCCUCGGCUUCCAGACAGGACAGUUCUGCCACUGAUUUGUGAGUUAAUAAUCCUUAUGCUAAUUAAUCCCUUUUUGAUUAAUGUCCAGCACCUGGCCUGUAGUAAGUGCUUAAUCAAUUCUAAUGACUUGAAUUUGCUUGAGAAAAACCAGUGGCUCUUCUUUGAGGUAAGAUUUCCUUACUAAUUGGGAAGCCAGGAGCUGUGUUCUUUAAAUCUUUGAUUGCUAGAACCUAGAAAGUGCUUGGCACAUAGUGGUUCCCAGUGAAUGUUGAGGACAGAGCGGAGGGACCAGGUAUGCGAGCCCAGCCUUACACCUGGGCUGGGUAUUAUAAUCCCCUCUGUACCUUCCAGUCUCUCUUAGGUUUCGUUCUAAAGAGGUACGUCAUCCUUGCCUGCAAUGGUACAAGUUUCUCUCCCAGGACUACCACCAGACUCAGACAAGAGUCUUCUUUAGAAGAUCAUGUUCUGGCUCUACAACUGCCCCUCCUGGUGACCUCAUGAGGGUCAUGAGUCCAUGAGGCUCAGAGGAUGUGCCCACUUAGAGUCAACUCCACCUGUUUCCAAACCACAAUUGCUGGAUUGGGGAUCCUGGAUUUCCUAGGUCAAAUGGUGCUUGUUUUAGUUUUCCAUCACCAUAACAACAUACUUGAUAUAAUCAACUUAUAAAAAGGAAGUUUAUUUUAGCUCACAAUUUGGAAGCUUUCAGUAUGCAGUUGGUUGGCCCCAUUGCUUUAGGCCUGUGGUAAGGCAGCAAAUCAUGGCAGGAGCGUGUGACAGGGCAAACACUGACUUCCUGGUCAGGAUGCAAAAGAGGAAGGGGCCAAGGUCCCACUAUGCCCUUCAAGGAUAUGCCCUACAGUGACCUAAAGACUUCCCACUAGAUCCCACCUCUUUAUGUUUUUGUCCUGGGAUUGAGCCCAAGGGUGCUCUGCCGUGACCAGGACAGCCAAACUAGCAGGUUCUGGCGAUGGGAGAUUGGAAGAAAUAAAGAGUCAAGAUAAAGAAGAUAAAGCUGGG